This 301-nucleotide ribosomal RNA is filed under the name uncultured bacterium. RNAcentral's name for it is "partial 16S ribosomal RNA". It matches the Rfam family "Bacterial small subunit ribosomal RNA", at positions 509 to 808 of the family's 1533-position model. The record is from RNAcentral.
CAGUCGCCGCGGUAAUACGUAGGUCCCGAGCGUUGUCCGGAUUUAUUGGGCGUAAAGCGAGCGCAGGCGGUUAGAUAAGUCUGAAGUUAAAGGCUGUGGCUUAACCAUAGUACGCUUUGGAAACUGUUUAACUUGAGUGCAAGGGGGGAGAGUGGAAUUCCAUGUGUAGCGGUGAAAUGCGUAGAUAUAUGGAGGAACACCGGUGGCGAAAGCGGCUCUCUGGCUUGUAACUGACGCCGAGGCUCGAAAGCGUGGGGAGCAAACAGGAUUAGAUACCCGAGUAGUCCCUGUCUCUUAUACA